This 217-nucleotide long non-coding RNA is filed under the name Solanum tuberosum (potato). RNAcentral describes it as "long non-coding RNA (STUB_LNC000424)". Lineage: Eukaryota; Viridiplantae; Streptophyta; Magnoliopsida; Solanales; Solanaceae. The record is from RNAcentral.
CACUUUAUCUCUAAUCUCAUCGGAGAAAUCAUUCAUUUGAAUUUAUACAAGAAUUUUCUUUGUCUUCUCCGGCGAAGAACAACCAACCCAUCACCACCAUAAGUCCACCUCCACAACGCCAUUUGUUCUUCUUUUUCGACGAACCACCAGCCACCAAACAACCACCACAAAACAACCACUCAAAAUCCAAAUCAAUCACCAACAAACACCAAACCAG